Molecule: ribosomal RNA, 521 nt
Filed under: uncultured bacterium
Lineage: Bacteria
Description: bacterial SSU rRNA
Rfam family: Bacterial small subunit ribosomal RNA
Source: RNAcentral
CCAGAGAACUUUCCAGAGAUGGAUUGGUGCCUUCGGGAACUCUGAGACAGGUGCUGCAUGGCUGUCGUCAGCUCGUGUUGUGAAAUGUUGGGUUAAGUCCCGCAACGAGCGCAACCCUUAUCCUUUGUUGCCAGCGGUUAGGCCGGGAACUCAAAGGAGACUGCCAGUGAUAAACUGGAGGAGGGUGGGGAUGACGUCAAGUCAUCAUGGCCCUUACGAGUAGGGCUACACACGUGCUACAAUGGCGCAUACAAAGAGAAGCGACCUCGCGAGAGCAAGCGGACCUCAUAAAGUGCGUCGUAGUCCGGAUUGGAGUCUGCAACUCGACUCCAUGAAGUCGGAAUCGCUAGUAGUCGUGGAUCAGAAUGCCACGGUGAAUACGUUCCCGGGCCUUGUACACACCGCCCGUCACACCAUGGGAGUGGGUUGCAAAAGAAGUAGGUAGCUUAACCUUCGGGAGGGCGCUUACCACUUUGUGAUUCAUGACUGGGGUGAAGUCGUAACAAGGUAAGCGUAGUGCU